Molecule: long non-coding RNA, 482 nt
Filed under: Ictidomys tridecemlineatus (thirteen-lined ground squirrel)
Lineage: Eukaryota; Metazoa; Chordata; Mammalia; Rodentia; Sciuridae
Description: lncRNA (ENSSTOG00000034167.1)
Source: RNAcentral
AAAACACAGAAGCUUCAUUAAUCAAAGCUGAUUCUCCAGAAAUUGCAGUUGCUUUUAUUCAGCAACAGGUUUGGGAGACACCCAUUACUCACCCAGUCUUCUGACAGGUGGCUUCUUGGAGCUAACUGGCCGAUGAUUUGGAAAAGCCACCCUAUUCACUCUUAAGGUAGAAAUUCAUCCUACCAUGUUGGAAACACAUGCCUCACUCUGCAACUAGAGGUUCUAGCCUUCUCUAGAGGGUGGCUUGGAGGAAACAUUGCUCACCGUACAAUGAAGAAGAGGUAACUUGGAUCUAGAAAGGUGUUUCAAAAAUUGUGGUGUAUUUGUUUUCUAUGGCCACUGUAAAAAGUACCACAAACAGGGUGACUUAAACCACAGAAAUUUAUUGUUACAGUUGUGCAGGCUAGAACUCUGAAAUCAAGCUGUAAACUAGGGAGGAAGGGCUUGUUCCAGCUAUGGAGAGACUGGAAUACACUCUCCCU